GCAACCUCUUCCCCUAGCCCUGCCUCCUUUCCCCAGAUCCUUGGUGCUGUCUCAGGAUGGGAAGGAGAGAAGGUAGGGGAGGGAAGUCUGUUCUGGGAUUUCCCUAGCCUGUGCUGGAGUGGGGGAGAGAGGUGGAUUGGAGCCCCCCACCCCAGAGGCAGCUCCAAUCCACCUGCCCCACCCUCCGGCACCAGCUGGGCAACCCGCAAAAUUAGCUCCCUCUGCUCCCUUCCCUCCCCUCCCAUUCUGAAAACAGUGCUGGGAGCAGGCAUAAGAUAAUGAAGGUGCUCCACUUUGAAGCAUCUUCAUCUGAAACCUUAUGUAAUUAGGGUUCAGACUGUUGCGGGAUCAGGCACUUUUAAAGUACUCUGCAGCCAUGCACUUGUGUUGGCUCACAGCUGCAGAGCACU
Molecule: long non-coding RNA, 410 nt
Organism: Gavialis gangeticus (Gharial)
Lineage: Eukaryota; Metazoa; Chordata; Crocodylia; Gavialidae
Exons: 4
Source: RefSeq, a predicted model, not a curated record